RNA transcript from Monopterus albus (swamp eel), 1012 nucleotides. It is a transcript of the gene named N-acetyltransferase 9-like, with no coding region annotated. The transcript has 4 exons. NCBI's taxonomy places the organism in Eukaryota, Metazoa, Chordata, Actinopteri, Synbranchiformes, Synbranchidae. The record is from RefSeq and is a predicted model, not a curated record.
GUAAACCAUGUGCCCAGGUAACAUUUACACCUGAUCAGUCUUGUUACACACAUGAAGCCUGUCACUUUUUUAUUUUAUUUUCCUCUGCUGAUAUCUUUAGUGAUGAGUGUUUGAAAGUUAUUUCUUUACUAUCAAGGUGGAUGGGUUUUAUUUUGACUUCUAAAUAAUAAUGUUGAGAAAAUCUCAUCACAAGUUCCAUUUAGUAGCUUUUCUGGAGCUUUCCGUCGUAUCAUACAGUCUCAUUUGUCAUGGAGCAUGUGAAAGCUUUUUAUCUAUAACUUAGGACAGAUGACACAUCUGACCCAGCUGUCAAUACAAGCUUCUGAUCCUUUGACAGUUUGAAGUCUCUUUAACUGGCACAGCAGAACCAGCUCUGGUCCUUUGGCAUCUGGAUACAUGAUUAAGUUAAAGCUGUAGAAACCUGGAGUCGCUGUCUCUUAUCCACCUGUUUACACUCUGCAGGUAUCAUGAAUGGAUGAAGCAUCCUGAGCUGCAGCAUCUGACUGCCUCAGAGACACUGAACCUGGAACAGGAGUACGACAUGCGGGGGAGCUGGCAGGAAGAUGGUGACAAGUGCACAUUCAUCAUCUUGGAUAAGCAGCGAUGGGCAGAUCCCAGUAUAGAAGAGGAGCAGUGCACGGUGGGAGAUGUCAGCAUGUUCCUGAUGGACCCAACAGACCUUUCCUCAGCUGAGCUGGAGAUCACAAUAGCAGAGCCCAGUUACAGAGGCAAGGGCAUCGGGAAGGAGGUGACACGAUGGAUGAUGUGCCCAUUAUUCUGCAGUUCAGCCUUGUGCUGUGUUCAUCUUUAGUUGGAGAAUCAACCUGUGGUGGAGGAGGAAAAAUAAUAAAUGCAAAAUCGGCAUGAGAAUGCAGAGAGGAUGGAUGAGAUUGAUGCAGCUCACUGUGCCUGCCCCCACCUGUCAAUGGAUCACCAGCUUCCUGACAGACAGCAAGCAGCAGGUGAGGCUGGGGAAAACCACAUCCAGCACCCGGACAAUAAGCACAGGUGC